GACCGAAACUCUUCACGCAAACAAAUAUCCCAAGCUCCUCACGCCGAACCAAACUCCUGAAGUCGCAACCCUAAUCUCGCACCCACCUCACGUGAACUCUCUUCAGGCCGAUUCUCUACCGCGCGCACCAACUCUAAGCCUCCACUCUUUGGUGAAGCCCUCUCUGACGAAGCCCUCUCUCUGGUGAAUCCUUGUCUGACCAAGCCCUCUCCACCGAAUUGAACAUCUUCGUCAAGAUUUUUUUUGGCACUCUUGCAAUUCUUGUCUUUCUCAGGUUGGAUCGCUUUUUUGGCGCUCUUGUAAUCCUUGUAUUUUUUUGUUCCACCGAGAGUUCUGAUGUCUAAAAGAAUCUAUUCAAGAACAACCCACAACUGGUUCUCCUGGGACCUCCACAACUGGUUCUUCCACCGCAAGAACAACCCCUCUGUUCCCAAAACCUCCAAGUGUAUUAUCUUUUGCCAGUCUUGAUUCAGUGAGUUUAUUUAGUUUUUUCCUAUGUGCUCAUCAGGUCGUUCUCUAUGAUCGAAUGUGUUUUGGGACACUAUCUAUUGCAGAAGAUUCAAAUGUUUCAAAUUUUUGGGUUGGAAGGGCAUGAUGUCGAGCGGAGAAGUCAAGAAGGUAUCUCGUCAGGAUAUACAACUAGUAAACCAGAAUGAAAGCUAACCGAGCGUGGGAAAAAAGAACUAAAAAAAAAUGUUGAAGAUGUUAUCACCCAAUUUCAGUUGCCUUCAGUUGGAUCUGUUUCUGAAAGCUAGAAAAUUUGAUCGUGAGAAAGCAACUCUUAUGUGGGCCCUCUUAUGCGUCAGUGGAGAAAGGAAUUUGGAGCAGAAACAAUUUUAAACAUUACGUAUUUUAUUGUCUGGAACUUUAGGAAUUUGGAUGCUUUGUAAAAGCAUAGAAGGACUAGUCUCAUGAAUGUUAGCUUGUGAGAAUCGAGUGACCUAUUAAUGUUGUGGCUAUUUUAUGUAUUCCAAUGCAAGAGAGUUAGAAGAACCAACACAACAAUCAAAAAUCAAUGUGGACUUUGAACUACUUGCACUACUUCAAAGAGACAUAGGAGAGGAAAGGCUUGCUGCUCAUAGUUAUUUCUAUUGGAAAGAAAAAUUAUAUGAUAUUUAUUUAUUUUUAUAUGCCUGUAACAUAGUUAUUCCUUUA
Zingiber officinale is the source of this 1155-nucleotide long non-coding RNA. RefSeq lists it as uncharacterized. The record is from RefSeq and is a predicted model, not a curated record. NCBI's taxonomy places the organism in Eukaryota, Viridiplantae, Streptophyta, Magnoliopsida, Zingiberales, Zingiberaceae. The transcript has 4 exons.